AUGGGGUUGGGGCUCAGCGGUAGAGCGCUCGCCUAUCAUGUGCGAGGCCCUGGUUUCGAUCCUCAGCACCACAUA
This 75-nucleotide transfer RNA is filed under the name Marmota monax (woodchuck). Its description in RNAcentral is "tRNA.Asp". The record is from RNAcentral. Lineage: Eukaryota; Metazoa; Chordata; Mammalia; Rodentia; Sciuridae.